This is an RNA transcript of Osmerus eperlanus (European smelt), 1857 nucleotides long. It is a transcript of the gene named radical S-adenosyl methionine domain containing 1, with no coding region annotated. NCBI's taxonomy places the organism in Eukaryota, Metazoa, Chordata, Actinopteri, Osmeriformes, Osmeridae. The transcript is spliced from 10 exons. The record is from RefSeq and is a predicted model, not a curated record.
UCUUCCUGUACUGUUGUCACAACCGUGUGACCUUUACGUAGGCUACUUGAGUCUCUGACACAGCGUAAUAGGCAGUGAAUGAGUUACAUUGUAGCCCUUACGAGUUAUUCGAAUAGCUAAUUGUCAAAGCGCUGUCAGCUCAUUCAAAAAUAAAGAUCUCACCAGCGCGGAUUACUUUGACUUGAGUAGCCUAUGUAGAUUGCUCUCCAAGGGCAAUUUGGGCUAUCUCAAGAUUGAUCGAAAUGUAAACGCUUGGACGUUCGAGCUAUUUACUUCAGAGACUGCUGAUGCACAAGGGCGAACGGAGUGAUGCUGAAAUUGCUCACAGCCGCAGCGCGUGUACCCACUCCCUGCGUGUGUCGAUGUUUCUCUGUAGUAGGGGGUGAAGAGAGUUGCGCGGUGUCCAAACUAGCUCCACCAAUGUCAAAAGAGGCUUCACUUUAUGUGCACUGGCCCUACUGUCUGAGGCGAUGCUCCUACUGCAACUUCAACAAGUACAUCCAUCGGUCUGAUAAUAAUGCUGUCAUGUCAGACUGCUUGCAACGGGAAACGGAGACACUUUUAAGGCUCAGUGGAGUUUCCUGCAUAACCUCUGUGUUUUUUGGAGGGGGGACUCCCAGCCUGGCCCACCCUUCAACCGUAGCGGCUGUCCUGGAGACGGUUGCCAGGCACGCUGGUCUCUCAGACAAGGCUGAGGUCACACUGGAGGUGAAUCCCACCCCAAUGGGGAAGUCCAGACUGGAGGACUUCCUGCUUGCUGGGGUCAACCGCUUUUCCAUCGGAGUACAGUCUCUGCAGGACAAUGACUUGAAAGUCCUGGGGAGAGACCAUAACUCCCAGAAUGCUCAGCAGACGGUUGCAGAGGCCCAGAGGCUGUGUCCUGGUAGAGUGUCUGUGGAUGUCAUGUUUGGUCGUCCCAAUCAAAGUGUUGAAUCCUGGGAAAGGGAGCUGGAAGAGUUACUGUCCCUGUGUGAUGACCACGUGUCUCUGUACCAGCUGACACUGGAGAGAGGCACACAGCUCUUUAAGCAGGUCCAGCUGGGGGAACUGAGUGUGCCAACUGAUGAUGUCACAGCUGACAUGUACAAAUCUGCCAGGAGAAUCCUUCAUGAGAGAGGAUACCUGCAAUAUGAGGUGUCAAACUUUGCAAGACGUGAUGCGGUCAGCUUGCAUAAUAUGAACUACUGGAAAGGACAUCAGUACAUUGGGAUAGGCCCAGGUGCACAUGGGCGCUUUGUUCCUUGCGCGGAGGGGGGUAUUCUCAGGGAGGCUCGGACGCAGACCCUGGAGCCCGAUGUGUGGAUCCGAGAAGUCCAGCAGAAGGGCCACGGAACCCGCCGCCGGAUCGGGCUCAACCAUCUGGCACUAUUGGAGGAGGUGUUGGUGAUGGGACUGCGUCUGAAUGAGGGCAUUAAUCACAAGCAUUGGCAGUUGUUCAGUCCUGCUGCCGAUUUUCACCAAAUCUUUGAAACGUCCAAGGAAGUACAAGAGUUUCAACGACGAGGUCUGCUUAUCCUGGACGACAGGGGUCUCCAGUGUACUUGGCAGGGCCUGGGUCUACUGGACAGUAUGUUGCCAACCCUUCUGCUCGAGCUGGAGACACACAUUACCCAGAGCUAAGGCAAGGGUGUCCAAGGACAACAAGGGUGGAUGGAGAGGAGAAACGACCUCCAAGCCUGGGCGACAGAGACAUUGUGAAGCCUAAGCAGUGUACUCAAAUACGAUCUCAUUGCCUGCCACCUGCUUCAGUCUGUAAUCUAAUCUCCAUAUCUAGGUGAAUGGAGUGGCCUCCUCCACUGUUCAUUAUAGCCCUACAAUGGAGUUUCGCAUCAUCUCCCUAAACUAAUGAGAGCAAUC